CAGUCGAACGGAUAUCUUCGGAUAUGAGUGGCGAACGGGUGAGUAACACGUAGGGAACCUGCCUGCAUGAGCGGGAGAACUUCUGGAAACGGAAGCUGAUACCGGAUGAGCAAAGAGGAGGCAUCUUCUUUUUGGAAAAGGGGACAAGAGUCCCGCAUGCAGAUGGACCUGCGGUGCAUUAGCUGGUUGGAGAGGUAACGGCUCACCAAGGCGACGAUGCAUAGCCGGCCUGAGAGGGCGGACGGCCACACUGGGACUGAGACACGGCCCAGACUCCUGCGGGAGGCAGCAGUAGGGAAUUUUCGUCAAUGGGGGGAACCCUGAACGAGCAAUGCCGCGUGAGCGAGGAAGGUCUUCGGAUCGUAAAGCUCUGUUGCCGGGGACAAAAGGCAGAAAGAGUGGAAAGCUUUCUGAGUGAUGGUACCCGGCGAGGAAGUCACGGCUAACUACGUGCCAGCAGCCGCGGUAAUACGUAGGUGGCGAGCGUUAUCCGGAAUGAUUGGGCGUAAAGGGUGCGCAGGCGGCCGGGCAAGUCCGCAGUAAAAACUGGAGGCUCAACCUUCAGGGGCUGCGGAAACUGUCCGGCUGGAGAGCAGGAGAGGACGGUGGAACUCCAUGUGUAGCGGUAAAAUGCGUAGAUAUAUGGAAGAACACCGGUGGCGAAGGCGGCCGUCUGGCCUGCAUCUGACGCUGAGGCACGAAAGCGUGGGGAGCAAAUAGGAUUAGAUACCCUAGUAGUCCACGCUGUAAACGAUGAGGA
This 760-nucleotide ribosomal RNA is filed under the name uncultured bacterium. Its description in RNAcentral is "bacterial SSU rRNA". It matches the Rfam family "Bacterial small subunit ribosomal RNA", at positions 59 to 815 of the family's 1533-position model. The record is from RNAcentral.